Molecule: ribosomal RNA, 1119 nt
Filed under: Alternaria tenuissima
Lineage: Eukaryota; Fungi; Ascomycota; Dothideomycetes; Pleosporales; Pleosporaceae
Description: eukaryotic LSU rRNA
Rfam family: Eukaryotic large subunit ribosomal RNA (bases 513-1119)
Source: RNAcentral
UCCGUAGGUGACCUGCGGAGGGAUCAUUACACAAAUAUGAAGGCGGGCUGGAACCUCUCGGGGUUACAGCCUUGCUGAAUUAUUCACCCUUGUCUUUUGCGUACUUCUUGUUUCCUUGGUGGGUUCGCCCACCACUAGGACAAACAUAAACCUUUUGUAAUUGCAAUCAGCGUCAGUAACAAAUUAAUAAUUACAACUUUCAACAACGGAUCUCUUGGUUCUGGCAUCGAUGAAGAACGCAGCGAAAUGCGAUAAGUAGUGUGAAUUGCAGAAUUCAGUGAAUCAUCGAAUCUUUGAACGCACAUUGCGCCCUUUGGUAUUCCAAAGGGCAUGCCUGUUCGAGCGUCAUUUGUACCCUCAAGCUUUGCUUGGUGUUGGGCGUCUUGUCUCUAGCUUUGCUGGAGACUCGCCUUAAAGUAAUUGGCAGCCGGCCUACUGGUUUCGGAGCGCAGCACAAGUCGCACUCUCUAUCAGCAAAGGUCUAGCAUCCAUUAAGCCUUUUUUUCAACUUUUGACCUCGGAUCAGGUAGGGAUACCCGCUGAACUUAAGCAUAUCAAUAAGCGGAGGAAAAGAAACCAACAGGGAUUGCCCUAGUAACGGCGAGUGAAGCGGCAACAGCUCAAAUUUGAAAUCUGGCUCUUUUAGAGUCCGAGUUGUAAUUUGCAGAGGGCGCUUUGGCUUUGGCAGCGGUCCAAGUUCCUUGGAACAGGACGUCACAGAGGGUGAGAAUCCCGUACGUGGUCGCUGGCUAUUGCCGUGUAAAGCCCCUUCGACGAGUCGAGUUGUUUGGGAAUGCAGCUCUAAAUGGGAGGUACAUUUCUUCUAAAGCUAAAUAUUGGCCAGAGACCGAUAGCGCACAAGUAGAGUGAUCGAAAGAUGAAAAGCACUUUGGAAAGAGAGUCAAACAGCACGUGAAAUUGUUGAAAGGGAAGCGCUUGCAGCCAGACUUGCUUACAGUUGCUCAUCCGGGUUUCUACCCGGUGCACUCUUCUGUAGGCAGGCCAGCAUCAGUUUGGGCGGUAGGAUAAAGGUCUCUGUCACGUACCUCCUUUCGGGGAGGCCUUAUAGGGGAGACGACAUACUACCAGCCUGGACUGAGGUCCGCGCAUCUGCUAGGA